CCAAUAGCGUAUAUUAAGGUUGCUGCGGUUAAAAAGCUCGUAGUUGAAUUUCGGGAUUGAUGCAUCGGUCGUGCCUUAAGGGGUAUGAACUGGUGUGGUCAAUUUCUUACCUUCUGGUGAAUUGUGAUGUCCUCCUUAAUUGGGUGUUUCAAUGAACUAGGACUUUUUACUUUGAAAAAAUUAGAGUGUUUAAAGCAGGCAUUAUUUGCUUGAAUACAUUAGCAUGGAAUAAUAAAAUAGGACAAUGAUUCUAUUUUGUUGGUUUCUAGGAUCACUGUAAUGAUUAAUAGGGAUAGUUGGGGGCAUUAGUAUUCAAUUGUCAGAGGUGAAAUUCUUGGAUUAAUUGAAGACUAACUACUGCGAAAGCAUUUGCCAAGGAUAUUUUCAUUAAUCAAGAACGAAAGUUAGGGGAUCGAAGACGAUUAGGUACGUCGUAGUCUUAACCAUAAACUAUGCCGACUAGGAAUCAGACAACGUUAAAUUUUUAAUGACUUGUUUGGCACCUUACG
RNAcentral lists this ribosomal RNA (509 nucleotides) under uncultured Glomeromycotina. RNAcentral describes it as "partial small subunit ribosomal RNA". It matches the Rfam family "Eukaryotic small subunit ribosomal RNA", at positions 591 to 1092 of the family's 1831-position model. Lineage: Eukaryota; Fungi; Glomeromycota. The record is from RNAcentral.